AUGGCGAGCGCAGCAACACCUUCGGCCGUCGCCAUGGAGGAUAGCCAGAGCAUCGAGACGUCGUCGGAGAUAUCCGUGGCCGACGUCAUGACGUCGUUGGAAAAACUAUCGGCCGGCCUGGAGAGAGCUACAAGGUACUUCUGCGUGCUCAACAAGGUCGACACAUGGGCCGCUGCGUGCUUGGGACCGGAGCCGGUGGACGCCACGGCAUGCACCACAGCGCAGGCGGCACUGCUCAAGUGCAUAACAGAUCCAUCCACCUGCGACUCGGAGGAACCGCAGACGAACGAGAACUCCAGCUGA
RNAcentral lists this ribosomal RNA (303 nucleotides) under Triticum aestivum (bread wheat). RNAcentral's name for it is "partial small subunit ribosomal RNA". The record is from RNAcentral. Lineage: Eukaryota; Viridiplantae; Streptophyta; Magnoliopsida; Poales; Poaceae.